UACAGAGGGUGCAAGCGUUAAUCGGAAUUACUGGGCGUAAAGCGUGCGCAGACGGUUGCGUAAGUCAGAUGUGAAAGCCCCGGGCUCAACCUGGGAAUUGCAUUUGAGACUGCGUAGCUAGGGUGCGGAAGAGGGAAGCGGAAUUUCCGGUGUAGCGGUGAAAUGCGUAGAUAUCGGAAGGAACACCAGUGGCGAAAGCGGCUCCUGGUCCAGCACCGGACGUCAGGCACGAAAGCGUGGGGAGCAAACAGG
This 252-nucleotide ribosomal RNA is filed under the name uncultured bacterium. RNAcentral describes it as "partial 16S ribosomal RNA". It matches the Rfam family "Bacterial small subunit ribosomal RNA", at positions 524 to 776 of the family's 1533-position model. The record is from RNAcentral.